GAUGAACGCUGGCGGUAUGCCUAACACAUGCAAGUCGAACGGUCGCUUCGGUGAUAUUGUCGGACGGGUGAGGAACGCGUGAGAAUCUGUCUUCAGGGCGGGGACAACUGUUAGAAAUGACUGCUAAUACCGGAUGUUCGUUUGGGUGAAAGAUUUAUUUCAUGAACAAGUGCUCGCGUCAGAUUAGAUAGUAGGUGGUGUAAGAGACUACCUAGGCGCCGAUCUGUAGCUGGUCUGAGAGGACGAUCAGCCACACUGGAACUGAGACACGGUCCAGACUCCUACGGGAGGCAGCAGUGGGGGAUGUUGCGCAAUGGGCGAAAGGCUGAAGGAGCAAUACCGCGUGAGGGACGAAGGCUUUUAGGUCGUAAACCUCUUUUAUCAAGGAAGAUGAUGACGGUACUUGAGGAAUAAGCAUCGGCUAACUCUGUG
This 432-nucleotide ribosomal RNA is filed under the name uncultured bacterium. RNAcentral's name for it is "partial 16S ribosomal RNA". It matches the Rfam family "Bacterial small subunit ribosomal RNA", at positions 28 to 507 of the family's 1533-position model. The record is from RNAcentral.